This 450-nucleotide ribosomal RNA is filed under the name uncultured bacterium. Its description in RNAcentral is "partial 16S ribosomal RNA". It matches the Rfam family "Bacterial small subunit ribosomal RNA", at positions 355 to 794 of the family's 1533-position model. The record is from RNAcentral.
UGGGGAAUUUUGGACAAUGGGCGCAAGCCUGAUCCAGCCACGCCGCGUGCGGGAAGAAGGCCUUCGGGUUGUAAACCGCUUUUGUCAGGGAAGAAAGUCUUCUGAGUUAAUACCUCGGGAGGAUGACGGUACCUGAAGAAUAAGCACCGGCUAACUACGUGCCAGCAGCCGCGGUAAUACGUAGGGUGCAAGCGUUAAUCGGAAUUACUGGGCGUAAAGCGUGCGCAGGCGGUUUUGUAAGACAGAGGUGAAAUCCCCGGGCUCAACCUGGGAACUGCCUUUGUGACUGCAAGGCUUGAGUGCGGCAGAGGGGGGAUGGAAUUUCCGCGUGUAGCAGUGAAAUGCGUAGAUAUGCGGAGGAACACCGAUGGCGAAGGCAAUCCCCUGGGCCUGCACUGACGCUCAUGCACGAAAGCGUGGGGAGCAAACAGGAUUAGAUACCCUGGUAGU